AGCAGUGGGGAAUCUUAGACAAUGGGCGCAAGCCUGAUCUAGCCAUGCCGCGUGGGUGAUGAAGGCCUUAGGGUCGUAAAGCCCUUUCGCCGGGGAAGAUAAUGACGGUACCCGGUAAAGAAACCCCGGCUAACUCCGUGCCAGCAGCCGCGGUAAUACGGAGGGGGUUAGCGUUGUUCGGAAUGACUGGGCGUAAAGCGCGCGUAGGCGGAUCAGGAAGUUGGGGGUGAAAUCCCGGGGCUCAACCCCGGAAUGGCCUUCAAAACUCCUGGUCUUGAGUUCGAGAGAGGUGAGUGGAAUUCCGAGUGUAGAGGUGAAAUUCGUAGAUAUUCGGAGGAACACCAGUGGCGAAGGCGGCUCACUGGCUCGACACUGACGCUGAGG
This 384-nucleotide ribosomal RNA is filed under the name uncultured bacterium. RNAcentral's name for it is "bacterial SSU rRNA". It matches the Rfam family "Bacterial small subunit ribosomal RNA", at positions 350 to 751 of the family's 1533-position model. The record is from RNAcentral.